This is a non-coding RNA of Phrynosoma platyrhinos (Desert horned lizard), 73 nucleotides long. The record is from the annotation of a GenBank genome assembly. Lineage: Eukaryota; Metazoa; Chordata; Lepidosauria; Squamata; Phrynosomatidae.
CCCAGUGUGACAUAGUGGUUUGAGUGUUGGACUGCAAACUCUAGAGAACAGGGUUCGAUUCCCAGCUCAGCCA